AACGAACGCUGGCGGCAGGCUUAACACAUGCAAGUCGAACGGUUGUAGCAAUACAGCAGUGGCAGACGGGUGAGUAACACGUGGGAACCUUCCUAGGGGUACGGAACAACUCAGGGAAACUUGAGCUAAUACCGUAUACGUCCGUGAGGAGAAAGAUUUAUCACCCUUAGACGGGCCCGCGUCGGAUUAGCUAGUUGGUGGGGUAACGGCCUACCAAGGCGACGAUCCGUAGCUGAUCUUAGAGGAUGAUCAGCCACACUGGGACUGAGACACGGCCCAGACUCCUACGGGAGGCAGCAGUGGGGAAUCUUGGACAAUGGGCGCAAGCCUGAUCCAGCCAUGCCGCGUGAGUGAAGAAGGUCUUCGGAUUGUAAAGCUCUUUUACCAGGGACGAUAAUGACGGUACCUGGAGAAUAAAGCCCGGCAAACUUCGUG
Molecule: ribosomal RNA, 435 nt
Filed under: uncultured bacterium
Lineage: Bacteria
Description: bacterial SSU rRNA
Rfam family: Bacterial small subunit ribosomal RNA
Source: RNAcentral